UCGUCCUCCAACGGCCAGAGGACUGGGUGUGUGUAGUCAGAACUGGGAAAGGGAGUCAUCGUAGGCCGACUUCUUUGCCCUUUGUCCUAGGCACCUCCCCCACGUUGAGGGAAAAUGUUGAGAAGAUGGUAAUAAUUGCCAGCUUUUACUGAGGGCCCACAAUGAGUCAGACUACGCUAAAUGUUUUACUUGCCUUGCCUUGCCCUGCCCCGUUUAGUUCUUGUGUGCUACGAGGAAGUCACUAUCAUACCCAUUUUACAGAGGGGGAAAACUGAGGCGCAAAGAGGCUAACUGGCUUAUUCAAGGUUGCUGAUUGCAGGAAAGGAGGGAGAAAGUGGUUCCUGUGGCAAAGACAGAGUCUUGGGGACUCCCACAAACAGGGCUAGAACAGGUAGUUUUAAAAACCAGUCUGCCAAGAAGUUUUUAGUAUAUGUGCUGCCGAAGCGAGCACUGACAAGAAGUUUAUGCUUAAAAAAAAGAUCCAUUUAGUUCCUGAUUCCGCCCCUCGGCCCAGCAGCCUCACAGUCUCAGCUGAAGACACUUUGCUUACCUUCUCCAAAAUCAAGU
Molecule: non-coding RNA, 567 nt
Organism: Odocoileus virginianus texanus
Lineage: Eukaryota; Metazoa; Chordata; Mammalia; Artiodactyla; Cervidae
Source: RefSeq, a predicted model, not a curated record